UACGGAGGGGGCUAGCGUUGUUCGGAAUUACUGGGCGUAAAGCGCGCGUAGGCGGAUCUGCAAGUCGGGUGAAAUCCCGAGGCUCAACCUCGGAACUGCCUUCGAUACUGCGGGUCUCGAGUCCGGGAGAGGUGAGUGGAAUUCCUAGUGUAGAGGUGAAAUUCGUAGAUAUUAGGAAGAACACCAGUGGCGAAGGCGGCUCACUGGCCCGGUACUGACGCUGAGGCGCGAAAGCUAGGGGAGCAAACGGG
Molecule: ribosomal RNA, 251 nt
Filed under: uncultured bacterium
Lineage: Bacteria
Description: partial 16S ribosomal RNA
Rfam family: Bacterial small subunit ribosomal RNA
Source: RNAcentral